Molecule: ribosomal RNA, 253 nt
Filed under: uncultured bacterium
Lineage: Bacteria
Description: partial 16S ribosomal RNA
Rfam family: Bacterial small subunit ribosomal RNA
Source: RNAcentral
UACGUAGGGACCGAGCGUUGUCCGGAUUCAUUGGGCGUAAAGAGCUCGUAGGCGGUUUGUCGCGUCUGCUGUGAAAACUCGAGGCUCAACCUCGGGCUUGCAGUGGGUACGGGCAGACUAGAGUGCGGUAGGGGUGACUGGAAUUCCUGGUGUAGCGGUGGAAUGCGCAGAUAUCAGGAGGAACACCGAUGGCGAAGGCAGGUCACUGGGCCGCAACUGACGCUGAGGAGCGAAAGCAUGGGGAGCGAACAGG